AGCGAACGCUGGCGGCGUGCCUAACACAUGCAAGUCGAACGUGAAUGGGAGCAAUCCCUAGUAAAGUGGCGUACGGGUGAGUAACACGUAGGUAAUCUACCUGUGAGUCUGGAAUAACCUGCCGAAAGGCGGGCUAAUACUAGAUAGAGCGAGGGGUUCGUAAAGGACUUCUCGGGAAAGGGAGCCCGCAAGGGCCUUUGCUUACAGAUGAGCCUGCGUCCCAUCAGCUAGUUGGUAGGGUAACGGCCUACCAAGGCUAUGACGGGUAGCUGGUCUGAGAGGAUGAUCAGCCACACUGGAACUGAAACACGGUCCAGACUCCUACGGGAGGCAGCAGUGGGGAAUCUUGCGCAAUGGACGAAAGUCUGACGCAGCCACGCCGCGUGAGUGAAGAAGGCCUUCGGGUUGUAAAGCUCUGUCGCCCGGGACGAACAUCUUUGGUGUUAACAGCAUCAAGGACUGACGGUACCGGGAGAGGAAGCACCGGCUAACUCUGUG
This 498-nucleotide ribosomal RNA is filed under the name uncultured organism. RNAcentral describes it as "bacterial SSU rRNA". It matches the Rfam family "Bacterial small subunit ribosomal RNA", at positions 29 to 507 of the family's 1533-position model. The record is from RNAcentral.